GACGAACGCUGGCGGCGUGCUUAACACAUGCAAGUCGAGCGGUAAGGCCCUUUCGGGGGUACACGAGCGGCGAACGGGUGAGUAACACGUGGGUGACCUGCCCUCAGCUCUGGGAUAAGCCUGGGAAACCGGGUCUAAUACCGGAUAUGACUCCAUGACGCAUGUUGUGGGGUGGAAAGCCUUGUGCGGCUGAGGAUGGGCCCGCGGCCUAUCAGCUUGUUGGUGGGGUGAUGGCCUACCAAGGCGACGACGGGUAGCCGGCCUGAGAGGGCGACCGGCCACACUGGGACUGAGACACGGCCCACGACUCCUACGGGAGGCAGCAGUGGGGAAUCUUGCGCAAUGGGCGAAAGCCUGACGCAGCGACGCCG
Molecule: ribosomal RNA, 371 nt
Filed under: uncultured bacterium
Lineage: Bacteria
Description: bacterial SSU rRNA
Rfam family: Bacterial small subunit ribosomal RNA
Source: RNAcentral